RNAcentral lists this ribosomal RNA (689 nucleotides) under uncultured bacterium. Its description in RNAcentral is "bacterial SSU rRNA". It matches the Rfam family "Bacterial small subunit ribosomal RNA", at positions 66 to 752 of the family's 1533-position model. The record is from RNAcentral.
ACGGUAACAGCACUUCGGUGGCUGACGAGUGGCGAACGGGUGAGUAAUACAUCGGAACGUGCCCGAGAGUGGGGGAUAACGCAGCGAAAGCUGUGCUAAUACCGCAUACGAUCUACGGAUGAAAGCAGGGGACCGCAAGGCCUUGCGCUCAUGGAGCGGCCGAUGGCAGAUUAGGUAGUUGGUGGGAUAAAAGCUUACCAAGCCGACGAUCUGUAGCUGGUCUGAGAGGACGACCAGCCACACUGGGACUGAGACACGGCCCAGACUCCUACGGGAGGCAGCAGUGGGGAAUUUUGGACAAUGGGCGAAAGCCUGAUCCAGCCAUGCCGCGUGCAGGAUGAAGGCCUUCGGGUUGUAAACUGCUUUUGUACGGAACGAAAAGGUCUUUUCUAAUAAAGAAGGCUCAUGACGGUACCGUAAGAAUAAGCACCGGCUAACUACGUGCCAGCAACCGCGGUAAUACGUAGGGUGCAAGCGUUAAUCGGAAUUACUGGGCGUAAAGCGUGCGCAGGCGGUUAUAUAAGACAGAUGUGAAAUCCCCGGGCUCAACCUGGGAACUGCAUUAGUGACUGUAUAGCUAGAGUGCGGCAGAGGGGGAUGGAAUUCCGCGUGUAGCAGUGAAAUGCGUAGAUAUGCGGAGGAACACCGAUGGCGAAGGCAAUCCCCUGGGCCUGCACUGACGCUCAUGC